ACACACCGCUCCGCAGUGGGUCGGGGGGCUCCUGAAGCUCUGUGUUGUUAGCCUGCGGGUCCUGGGCUGCAUGACCCAAUUCCUUUUUUUCUGCAGACUCUCUUCCAUGCUUAAAUUGGCCGCUCCAAUCCAAAUUAGCGGGGCGUUUGGACAAAGUCACGAGAUUGUCGAGGUUUCCCGAAGUCUCUGCCGGGUGUCGGCCUCUGAGGUUGCAGUUGCUGGCUGCAGUUCUGCCCGUUUCACUUCUGAGGGUGCUGGUGUUGUGUUACAAGGGCAAGUUACUUUUACUGUGGGCCUUACUCAACUGGAAAAAACACUAGUACCCACAACCUGAGGCUGUUGUGUUCUUUGAGGUAAUGUAUAGAACGUUCCAGCAUACUGCAAUGAACAUUAACAGGGUUUUUUUUUUUCAUUGUUGUUGUUUGUUUGUUUUUUCUAAUGAUGUGAUAUACUUGCUUGUUCCGCGUUGGAACACAUACGUGUACUGGAAAUACUUUUGUUCAGUGCUUAGCUGAUGAAACUGGGUACCUUCCCCUUUGGAAACAUAUAUAUAAACUUGAUUGAAAACUU
This 570-nucleotide long non-coding RNA is filed under the name Rattus norvegicus (Norway rat). Its description in RNAcentral is "long non-coding RNA NONRATT006709". The record is from RNAcentral. Lineage: Eukaryota; Metazoa; Chordata; Mammalia; Rodentia; Muridae.